RNAcentral lists this unclassified non-coding RNA (253 nucleotides) under uncultured Saccharospirillaceae bacterium. Its description in RNAcentral is "contains 16S-23S intergenic spacer region". It matches the Rfam family "Bacterial small subunit ribosomal RNA", at positions 524 to 776 of the family's 1533-position model. The record is from RNAcentral. Lineage: Bacteria; Pseudomonadati; Pseudomonadota; Gammaproteobacteria; Oceanospirillales; Saccharospirillaceae.
UAGGGAGGUUGCAAGCGGUAAUCGGAAUUACUGGGCGUAGAGCGCGCGUAGGCGGCAAGUCAAGUUGGGUGUGAAAGCCCCGGGCUCAACCUGGGAACUGCAUCCAAAACUGGCUAGCUCGAGUACAGCAGAGGAUAGUGGAAUUUCCGGUGUAGCGUUGAAAUGCGUAGAGAUCGGAAGGAACACCAGUGGCGAAGGCGACUGUCUGGGCUGAUACUGACGCUGAGGUGCGAAAGCGUGGGGAGCAAACAGG